GACGAACGCUGGCGGCGUGCUUAACACAUGCAAGUCGAACGGAAAGGCCCUGCUUUUGUGGGGUGCUCGAGUGGCGAACGGGUGAGUAACACGUGAGUAACCUGCCCUUGACUUUGGGAUAACUUCAGGAAACUGGGGCUAACACCGGAUAGGAGCUCCUGCUGCUUGGUGGGGGUUGGAAAGUUUCGGCGGUUGGGGAUGGACUCGCGGCUUAUCAGCUUGUUGGUGGGGUAGUGGCUUACCAAGGCUUUGACGGGUAGCCGGCCUGGGAGGGUGACCGGCCACAUUGGGACUGAGAUACGGCCCAGACUCCUACGGGAGGCAGCAGUGGGGAAUAUUGCACAAUGGGCGGGAGCCUGAGGCAGCAACGCCGCGUGCGGGAUGACGGCCUUCGGGUUGUAAACCGCUUUCGCCUGUGACGAAGCGUGAGUGACGGUAAUGGGUAAAGAAGCACCGGCUAACUACGUG
RNAcentral lists this ribosomal RNA (468 nucleotides) under uncultured bacterium. RNAcentral's name for it is "partial 16S ribosomal RNA". It matches the Rfam family "Bacterial small subunit ribosomal RNA", at positions 28 to 507 of the family's 1533-position model. The record is from RNAcentral.